This is a non-coding RNA of Pelobates cultripes (western spadefoot toad), 219 nucleotides long. NCBI's taxonomy places the organism in Eukaryota, Metazoa, Chordata, Amphibia, Anura, Pelobatidae. The record is from the annotation of a GenBank genome assembly.
CAGGACCACAUUAGUGUGAGACUUUUGCCAUGAGUCCAGCCUUGGCAAAUUGGCUAGGAGUGUUCUGAGCUCCUUGAGGCAUGACAAUCCAGGUGUAUUGCUGACGUUCAUGGGUGAAGGCAAACAGAUAUUGGCAUGAGGGGUCAAGGGGUACAUUAGCCAAAUCCACCACUGUGAAGAUCUUGGUGGUAGGUGGGACUCCUGACAGGAGUUAGGAGG